This 2890-nucleotide ribosomal RNA is filed under the name Vibrio parahaemolyticus. Its description in RNAcentral is "23S ribosomal RNA". It matches the Rfam family "Bacterial large subunit ribosomal RNA". The record is from RNAcentral. Lineage: Bacteria; Pseudomonadati; Pseudomonadota; Gammaproteobacteria; Vibrionales; Vibrionaceae.
GGUUAAGUGACUAAGCGUACACGGUGGAUGCCUUGGCAGUCAGAGGCGAUGAAAGACGUAGUAACUUGCGAUAAGCCCAGAUUAGGUAGUAACAACCAUUUGAGUCUGGGAUUUCUGAAUGGGGAAACCCACGUGCAUAAGCACGUAUCCUUACCUGAAUACAUAGGGUAAGGAGGCGAACCGGGGGAACUGAAACAUCUAAGUACCCCGAGGAAAAGAAAUCAACCGAGAUUCCGAAAGUAGCGGCGAGCGAAAUUGGACUAGCCCUUAAGCUUUACACGCGUUAGACGAACGGUCUGGAAAGUCCGACGAUACAGGGUGAUAGUCCCGUAGUUGACGACGUGUGUUCAGUGAAAUCGAGUAGGGCGGGACACGUGAUAUCCUGUCUGAAUAUGGGGGGACCAUCCUCCAAGGCUAAAUACUACUGACUGACCGAUAGUGAACCAGUACCGUGAGGGAAAGGCGAAAAGAACCCCUGUGAGGGGAGUGAAAUAGAACCUGAAACCGUGUACGUACAAGCAGUAGGAGCAGGCUUGUCCUGUGACUGCGUACCUUUUGUAUAAUGGGUCAGCGACUUAUAUUCAGUGGCAAGGUUAACCAUCUAGGGGAGCCGUAGGGAAACCGAGUCUUAACUGGGCGUUCAGUCUCUGGAUAUAGACCCGAAACCAGGUGAUCUAGCCAUGGGCAGGUUGAAGGUUGAGUAACAUCAACUGGAGGACCGAACCGACUAAUGUUGAAAAAUUAGCGGAUGACUUGUGGCUAGGGGUGAAAGGCCAAUCAAACCUGGAGAUAGCUGGUUCUCCCCGAAAGCUAUUUAGGUAGCGCCUCGGACGAAUACUACUGGGGGUAGAGCACUGUUAAGGCUAGGGGGUCAUCCCGACUUACCAACCCUUUGCAAACUCCGAAUACCAGUAAGUACUAUCCGGGAGACACACGGCGGGUGCUAACGUCCGUCGUGGAGAGGGAAACAACCCAGACCGCCAGCUAAGGUCCCAAAUUACUACUAAGUGGGAAACGAUGUGGGAAGGCUCAGACAGCCAGGAUGUUGGCUUAGAAGCAGCCAUCAUUUAAAGAAAGCGUAAUAGCUCACUGGUCGAGUCGGCCUGCGCGGAAGAUGUAACGGGGCUAAGUAGUAAACCGAAGCUGCGGCAAUAUACUUUUGUAUAUUGGGUAGGGGAGCGUUCUGUAAGCGGUUGAAGGUGUGUGGUAACGCAUGCUGGACGUAUCAGAAGUGCGAAUGCUGACAUGAGUAACGAUAAAGGGGGUGAAAAACCUCCUCGCCGGAAGACCAAGGGUUCCUGUCCAACGUUAAUCGGGGCAGGGUAAGUCGACCCCUAAGGCGAGGCCGAAAGGCGUAGUCGAUGGGAAACGGGUUAAUAUUCCCGUACUUCUUACAAUUGCGAUGGGGGGACGGAGAAGGCUAGGUGGGCCUGGCGACGGUUGUCCAGGUUCAAGUGCGUAGGCUUGAGAGUUAGGUAAAUCCGGCUCUCUUUAAGGCUGAGACACGACGUCGAGCAUCUACGGAUGUGAAGUCAUUGAUGCCAUGCUUCCAGGAAAAGCCUCUAAGCUUCAGAUUGUAAGGAAUCGUACCCCAAACCGACACAGGUGGUCGGGUAGAGAAUACCAAGGCGCUUGAGAGAACUCGGGUGAAGGAACUAGGCAAAAUGGUACCGUAACUUCGGGAGAAGGUACGCUCUUGAUGGUGAAGUCCCUUGCGGAUGGAGCUGACGAGAGUCGCAGAUACCAGGUGGCUGCAACUGUUUAUUAAAAACACAGCACUGUGCAAAAUCGUAAGAUGACGUAUACGGUGUGACGCCUGCCCGGUGCCGGAAGGUUAAUUGAUGGGGUUAGACUUCGGUCGAAGCUCUUGAUCGAAGCCCCGGUAAACGGCGGCCGUAACUAUAACGGUCCUAAGGUAGCGAAAUUCCUUGUCGGGUAAGUUCCGACCUGCACGAAUGGCGUAAUGAUGGCCACGCUGUCUCCACCCGAGACUCAGUGAAAUUGAAAUCGCUGUGAAGAUGCAGUGUACCCGCGGCUAGACGGAAAGACCCCGUGAACCUUUACUACAGCUUGGCACUGAACAUUGACCCUACAUGUGUAGGAUAGGUGGGAGGCUUUGAAGCACGUACGCCAGUAUGUGUGGAGCCGUCCUUGAAAUACCACCCUUGUAGUGUUGAUGUUCUAACGUCGACCCCUAAUCGGGGUUGCGGACAGUGCCUGGUGGGUAGUUUGACUGGGGCGGUCUCCUCCCAAAGAGUAACGGAGGAGCACGAAGGUGGGCUAAUCACGGUUGGACAUCGUGAGGUUAGUGCAAUGGCAUAAGCCCGCUUGACUGCGAGAAUGACAAUUCGAGCAGGUGCGAAAGCAGGUCAUAGUGAUCCGGUGGUUCUGAAUGGAAGGGCCAUCGCUCAACGGAUAAAAGGUACUCCGGGGAUAACAGGCUGAUACCGCCCAAGAGUUCAUAUCGACGGCGGUGUUUGGCACCUCGAUGUCGGCUCAUCACAUCCUGGGGCUGAAGUCGGUCCCAAGGGUAUGGCUGUUCGCCAUUUAAAGUGGUACGCGAGCUGGGUUUAGAACGUCGUGAGACAGUUCGGUCCCUAUCUGCCGUGGGCGUUGGAAGAUUGAAGGGGGCUGCUCCUAGUACGAGAGGACCGGAGUGGACGAACCUCUGGUGUUCGGGUUGUGUCGCCAGACGCAUUGCCCGGUAGCUAAGUUCGGAAUCGAUAACCGCUGAAAGCAUCUAAGCGGGAAGCGAGCCCUGAGAUGAGUCUUCCCUGAUACUUUAAGUAUCCUAAAGGGUUGUCGGAGACUACGACGUUGAUAGGUCAGGUGUGUAAGUGCUGUGAGGCAUUGAGCUAACUGAUACUAAUUGCCCGUGAGGCUUAACCAU